This 1248-nucleotide long non-coding RNA is filed under the name Ictidomys tridecemlineatus (thirteen-lined ground squirrel). RNAcentral describes it as "lncRNA (ENSSTOG00000031216.1)". The record is from RNAcentral. Lineage: Eukaryota; Metazoa; Chordata; Mammalia; Rodentia; Sciuridae.
AAAGGGCUGUCUGUGCCUGCUUCUCGCCACGGCUGAGUGCCAGUUGUCUUAAAUCCAGUGCUCCUUGAACCCCAGCCGCUCAUGGCUGCUGCGAGGGCCACCCGUAAUGCCUACACCACGAGCUCACCGAGGACCGGGUUUAAACCAGGGCUCCUUGGCCAUUCUCUGGACAUUUGAGCUGCAUCCUUGUCCCUUUCUGCCUCUCUCAAGCCCCCAGAGGUUCAUGGCUCUGGCUCCCUCUGCCCACAGCAGCUGUGUUGUCAACAGGGACAAAGUCACCUUCCUCUGACAAAGUCACCAUGCUCUGAGCAAGUCAAGCCUGUGUUCAUCUUGGGGACAGAGCCCUGUCCAGAGUAUGAAACCACAUGGAGUCCAUAGGAACUCAAUGCCUGCGCAAAGAUAGACUGAAGACUGCUUUGGAGAGGAGAAAAGGGAGAAGAAUUUGACAGCAGGGCUGAGAGGCAUCCCCUGCCAGGAGCUGGCCUGCGUAAGCCCUUGAUGUGAUGCCCCCUCAUCCAACAAGAGCUUUGGAGAGGAUGCAGUGAUGGUUUAAAGUUGCCUAGUAGCUGGAGGGAGAGACUCACCAGAGAUGUGGAGGCUUCUGCAAGGUCGCGGGCUCCAAAGGCUCCUAGUGGAAGCUGCUGAUGAUCCUGUAGCAGGGCACAAAUGCCUUGCUCCAAGAAGUUUCCUGUGUGCUCAGAGACAAGACUUGACUGUGGCGCCUGGGACCGAGCACCGUGCACUGUGGCUCCUUGCACAUGUCAUGCGGCAAGCAGCUCGUUCGUGGCAGGAAUUCGCCUUCUCCGAGGCAGCCGUUCUCUUUGUUUUUCCUCUCACCACAUAGAAGUAAAUGUGUUUGACAUACAAUAAAAAUCACCUGACUUCACUGUGUUGUGGAGUGGACAUGAGGGCCUGAUGAUGGCCACAGGUUGUCAGGAAUUCCUGCAAGAUCACGUAGAAUAGGAACAUUCCUUAUCCUACCUUGACAAAAAUACCUUCCAUGAUGUCGAGCAAUCAGAACACACUCAUCGAAAUUGUCAAUCAGACACGUAUUUUCAGGAGUGAAACCGCCACGUGGGCUGUCCUGAUCUCAGCUUCGGCCUCACUCUGCCAACUCCUCGUAAGGCCGGUGACUGAGCUGCCUGUGGCAGACCACAGGAUGAGCUAUAGACCACACAAUACCCUGUGGGUCACACAGCAGGCUCCAGACUACCCCAGACUACACCCUGCUCUCUAGCUUGCACUGCA